GGGAGAAUGGCGUGAACCCGGGAGAUGGAGCUUGCGGUGAACCAAGAUCAUGCCACUGCACUCCAGCCUGGGAGACAGAGCAAGACUCCAUCUCCAAAAAAAAAAAAAAGAAGGACAGCUGAGAGAAAACAGCACCUAGCACCCUGCCUUAACACAGAGAAAAUGUCCACUAAAUAUUUAUGGAAUAAACAGGAAUGAAUGAAUUAAUGAAUGCACAAAUGGAUAAAGUACAUGAAGUAUUUCAAGAGUGAGAAAGCAGAUAUGGUAAGGUAGAAAAAAGUAAGACUGUCUUUGGGAAAAUUUCUUUUACUUUUGGGGAAAGCUUGCUCAUUUCAAGGCUCUAAGGUCCUGUUCAUCUUGCAUAACUGAAGUUUUGAUUGGACAAAAUAUCCACUUGAUAAUUUCCUACUUCCCAAUGUAGUUUAUAUUGCAUGAAACUAAUAUAACAGUCUUUCAGAACUAGUGUAGUGACAUGCAUAACAAGAUUGGAAGUAGAUAAUUUUCCAUUUUAAUGUUAGUGUCAUGUCUUACUUAAAAUUAUCAGUGACAGUGGACGUGUUGGUAAAAAAAGGAAACAAGCUAAACAUCCAUCCACUGAGAAAUGGAUUAACAAAGUGGUCCAUCCAUGCAAUGGAACUACUCAGUGAUAAAAAGCGAUGAAGUAUUGAUACAUGAAACAACAUGGAUGAACUUUGAAAACAUUAUCCUAAGUGAAAGAAGCCAAACACAAAAGACAGCAUAUUGUAUGAUCCCAUUCAUAAGAGCUUUAUAAACAAAAGGCGGAUCAAUGGUUGCUUGGGCCGGCGAGUGAGAGUGGGGAUUGACUGCAAACAAGCCAAGUGAUGUGGUUUGGCUGUGUCCCCACUCAAAUCUCAUCUUGAAUUGUAACUUCCAUAAUUCCCAUGUGUUGUAGGAGGGAUCCAGUGGGAGAUAAUUGAAUCAUGGUGGAAGUUUCCCCCAUACUGUUCUUGUGGUAGUGAAUAAGUCUCAGGAGAUCUAAUGGUUUUGUAAAGGGUUUUCCCUUUUGCUUGAUUCUCAUUCUGUUUCUUG
This 1050-nucleotide long non-coding RNA is filed under the name Homo sapiens (human). RNAcentral describes it as "HSALNT0168394". The record is from RNAcentral. Lineage: Eukaryota; Metazoa; Chordata; Mammalia; Primates; Hominidae.